UUUUAUUAAUUACGUGAAAAAUGGAAAAUUUAUACGUACUUGAAAAGGAAGGCGAGCAAAAGGAGAUGUAACGGAAAAUUAGAGAUGCAAUUUUUCUGAAACAACAUUGAAGGCACGCUCUAUUUCCGUGAAACUGUUCGCGUCUCGAACUUCUGUUGCUGAUUCUGAAAAUGUUACAGUUUUAUGAAAAUACUAUCUAAAAUCGCAGACUGUGAAACGUGAGUACCAGCUCUUAUUUAAUUCGAAUUAAAUCCAAUGGAUUAUUGGAAAAUAACGUAAAUUUUCGAUUAAUUGCUUUAUUUUUAAAUUGCAAUAAUAUUA
Long non-coding RNA from Apis dorsata (giant honeybee), 321 nucleotides. RefSeq lists it as uncharacterized. The record is from RefSeq and is a predicted model, not a curated record. NCBI's taxonomy places the organism in Eukaryota, Metazoa, Arthropoda, Insecta, Hymenoptera, Apidae. The transcript has 3 exons.